GUGCUCACUUCGGCAGCACAUAUACUAAAAAAAUGGGAAUGAUACAGAGAAAAUUAUCAUGGCCCCUGUGCAAGGAUGACUCGCAAAUUUGUGAGGCAUUCCCUAUUUUA
This is a small nuclear RNA of Sorex fumeus (smoky shrew), 110 nucleotides long. Lineage: Eukaryota; Metazoa; Chordata; Mammalia; Eulipotyphla; Soricidae. The record is from RefSeq and is a predicted model, not a curated record.